This 460-nucleotide ribosomal RNA is filed under the name uncultured bacterium. Its description in RNAcentral is "partial 16S ribosomal RNA". It matches the Rfam family "Bacterial small subunit ribosomal RNA", at positions 338 to 795 of the family's 1533-position model. The record is from RNAcentral.
CCUACGGGCGGCAGCAGUGAGGAAUAUUGGUCAAUGGACGAGAGUCUGAACCAGUCAAGUAGCGUGAAGGAUGACUGCCCUAUGGGUUGUAAACUUCUUUUAUAUGGGAAUAAAAUGUUCCACGUGUGGGAUUUUGUAUGUACCAUAUGAAUAAGGAUCGGCUAACUCCGUGCCAGCAGCCGCGGUAAUACGGAGGAUCCGAGCGUUAUCCGGAUUUAUUGGGUUUAAGGGGAGCGUAGGUGGAUUGUUAAGUCAGUUGUGAAAGUUUGCGGCUCAACCGUAAAAUUGCAGUUGAAACUGGCAGUCUUGAGUACAGUAGAGGUGGGCGGAAUUCGUGGUGUAGCGGUGAAAUGCUUAGAUAUCACGAAGAACUCCGAUUGCGAAGGCAGUUCACUGGACUGCAACUGACACUGAGGCUCGAAAGUGUGGGUAUCAAACAGGAUUAGAUACCCUUGUAGUC